Molecule: ribosomal RNA, 253 nt
Filed under: uncultured bacterium
Lineage: Bacteria
Description: partial 16S ribosomal RNA
Rfam family: Bacterial small subunit ribosomal RNA
Source: RNAcentral
UACGUAGGUGACAAGCGUUGUCCGGAUUUACUGGGCGUAAAGAGCGCGCAGGCGGUCGAUCAAGUCGAGUGUGAAAGCCCCCGGCUCAACUGGGGAGGGUCAUUCGAUACUGAUCGACUCGAAGGCAGGAGAGGGUAGUGGAAUUCCCGGUGUAGCGGUGAAAUGCGCAGAGAUCGGGAGGAACACCCGUAGCGAAGGCGGCACUCUGGGCCGGUACUGACGCUGAGGAGCGAAAGCGUGGGGAGCAAACAGG